AUUGAACGCUGGCGGCAGGCCUAACACAUGCAAGCCGAACGGUAACAGGAAACAGCUUGCUGUUUCGCUGACGAGUGGCGGACGGGUGUGUAAUGUCUGGGAAACUGCCUGAUGGAGGGGGAUAACUACUGGAAACGGUAGCUAAUACCGCAUAACGUCGCAAGACCAAAGAGGGGGACCUUCGGGCCUCUUGCCAUCGGAUGUGCCCAGAUGGGAUUAGCUAGUAGGUGGGGUAACGGCUCACCUAGGCGACGAUCCCUAGCUGGUCUGAGAGGAUGACCAGCCACACUGGAACUGAGACACGGUCCAGACUCCUACGGGAGGCAGCAGUGGGGAAUAUUGCACAAUGGGCGCAAGCCUGAUGCAGCCAUGCCGCGUGUAUGAAGAAGGCCUUCGGAUUGUAAAGUACUUUUAGCGGGGAGGAAGGGAGUAAAGUUAAUACCUGUGCUCAUUGACGUUACCCGCAGAAGAAGCACCGGCUAACUCCGUG
RNAcentral lists this ribosomal RNA (490 nucleotides) under uncultured bacterium. RNAcentral's name for it is "partial 16S ribosomal RNA". It matches the Rfam family "Bacterial small subunit ribosomal RNA", at positions 30 to 507 of the family's 1533-position model. The record is from RNAcentral.